GGGGUUGUAGCUCAGUGGUAGAGCAGUUACCUAGCAUGUAUGAGGCACUGGGUUUGAUCCCCAGCACCACA
Molecule: transfer RNA, 71 nt
Filed under: Marmota monax (woodchuck)
Lineage: Eukaryota; Metazoa; Chordata; Mammalia; Rodentia; Sciuridae
Description: tRNA.Ala
Rfam family: tRNA
About the family: Transfer RNA (tRNA) molecules are approximately 80 nucleotides in length. Their secondary structure includes four short double-helical elements and three loops (D, anti-codon, and T loops). Further hydrogen bonds mediate the characteristic L-shaped molecular structure. tRNAs have two regions of fundamental functional importance: the anti-codon, which is responsible for specific mRNA codon recognition, and the 3' end, to which the tRNAs corresponding amino acid is attached (by aminoacyl-tRNA synthetases). tRNAs cope with the degeneracy of the genetic code in two manners: having more than one tRNA (with a specific anti-codon) for a particular amino acid; and 'wobble' base-pairing, i.e. permitting non-standard base-pairing at the 3rd anti-codon position.
Source: RNAcentral